GCGGUCGUGGCGGAAUUGGUAGACGCGCUAGCUUGAGGUGCUAGUGGGGCGACCCGUGGAGGUUCGAGUCCUCUCGACCGCACCA
RNAcentral lists this transfer RNA (85 nucleotides) under Hyphomicrobiales bacterium. Its description in RNAcentral is "Rhizobiales bacterium (bioreactor metagenome) tRNA-Leu". It matches the Rfam family "tRNA". From Rfam's summary of the family: Transfer RNA (tRNA) molecules are approximately 80 nucleotides in length. Their secondary structure includes four short double-helical elements and three loops (D, anti-codon, and T loops). Lineage: Bacteria; Pseudomonadati; Pseudomonadota; Alphaproteobacteria; Hyphomicrobiales. The record is from RNAcentral. RNAcentral also lists the same sequence under 3 other names.